RNAcentral lists this ribosomal RNA (393 nucleotides) under uncultured bacterium. RNAcentral's name for it is "partial 16S ribosomal RNA". It matches the Rfam family "Bacterial small subunit ribosomal RNA", at positions 523 to 918 of the family's 1533-position model. The record is from RNAcentral.
AUACGUAGGUGACAAGCGUUAUCCGGAUUUACUGGGCGUAAAGGGCGUGUAGGCGGUCUUGCAAGUCAGAAGUGAAAUUCCUGAGCUCAACUCGGGCGCUGCUUCUGAAACUGCAGGACUUGAGUGCUGGAGGGGAUAGCGGAAUUCCUAGUGGAGCGGUAAAAUGCGCAGAUAUUAGGAAGAACACCGGUGGCGAAGGCGGCUAUCUGGACAGUAACUGACGCUGAGGCGCGAAAGCGUGGGGAGCAAACAGGAUUAGAUACCCUGGUAGUCCACGCCGUAAACGAUGGGUACUAGGUGUCGGGGGUCCAACCUCGGUGCCGCAGUAAACACAUUAAGUACCCCGCCUGGGGAGUACGGUCGCAAGAUUAAAACUCAAAGGAAUUGACGGGG